CAAUAUAUUACUUUUUAGGAAUGCCGAAUGGAGAGAGCGAAGAGGCGCGGAUCGUCAUCUCCGGCCAGACUGCCGUCGCCAAGCUGGCGCUCGCGCAGCGAGAGUGAAGGUGUGUCGAGGGGUGAUUUUGUUUUGCCAUUGGUCUGUCGAGGGCGCUUCACCAGCUUGACAUUGUGAAUAGCACCCACUCAGGAAUGGCGAGUGGAUGCUACUGGAUUUCUUUUUUUCUUUGAAAGAGGACUAAACUUGAAACUGUUUGGAAUACACGGCUGGAGCGUUCUUGGACGAGCUACUUACAAAGUGACUCCGAGGGGACAACUUCCAAUUGUUGUUUAUUGCGGUGGAAAGGAACCCUUUUUCCUACCACUUCCAAGCAACGAGUGAAGCUAUAACGCCAUGGUUUUGUUUCGUAGGUACUUCCAAAGGAGAGCCCGGAGAUUACUGCUCAAGUUGAUACGGAAGUUUCCAAGGCGGGUGACUGGGACGGAGCGCUUGAUAUUUUCUGGAGAAAGCAGGAGAUCUCUCGACUGCCAGGAGCCUCACUCGCGAUGACUGGUAUCGCCUCCGGAGAGCACUCUCAAUCAUCAAGUUUGCAGGCAUCCGAAGAACUUGGGACAUAGAUAAUGGACUCUGCUCCAGAGAGCUCCUGUGCUGCUUUCUCUACAGGCGCGGCGUUGAUCUUUACAGGGCGAUUAGAUACGAAGAAAUGCUGGCCUGGCUGGAACACGAUCAAAUAGUUGGCCUGACGUGUGUUUUCAUUUUUUUCUCUACAGAAAACGACGAGAGCGGUCGUGGUAUGCUGGCUGAGGAGCCAUGGCUGCUUCUCUGGCCAUCGCAUAUCAACAGGUGACUCGAUCAACUCUAGGCAGUCUUCAUCGUACAGGCAAUGGAGCACUUGAAUGAGAGCCGAUGCGCUGGCGGUCUGUCAUCCGAGGGAGCUUCCAGGAAUUAUGCCCGGCAGCAGCUGAUCGCUCCGUCACGAGCCUCUCUCUCAGUGGAUAGACGCUUCAUAAUUGAGCUCCUCUCUUUCUCUACACCCAUUCAAUGAUUCAGAAGCCUCUCACUCAAUCUUCGUUUAUAACUUUGCAGCAAAGGAGCCUCGAUUUCCUGUAAAGAUCGAGUCGCCUCUCGCCCGAAGCGAUAGCCAGGAAGGAGCUCUGGCUUUUAAAGUCUUGCGUCGCCAAGAACAAGCAAGCAACAGCCACGACCUUGGCUAAAAACACCGAGUCUGUUCCGUUGUGUGUGUGUAGGAUCCUCGAGCGCUCGCAUCCCUCCAACUCUGGAAUGGGUCAGGGUACGUAGAUCAGCAUUUCUUCAUUGAAGGUUAAAAGGCACUGGGUGGUUUAAAUUAAUCAAUACUAUGUUUCUGCAA
Molecule: long non-coding RNA, 1372 nt
Organism: Selaginella moellendorffii
Lineage: Eukaryota; Viridiplantae; Streptophyta; Lycopodiopsida; Selaginellales; Selaginellaceae
Exons: 4
Source: RefSeq, a predicted model, not a curated record